Molecule: ribosomal RNA, 468 nt
Filed under: uncultured bacterium
Lineage: Bacteria
Description: partial 16S ribosomal RNA
Rfam family: Bacterial small subunit ribosomal RNA
Source: RNAcentral
GACGAACGCUGGCGGCGUGCUUAACACAUGCAAGUCGAACGGAAAGGCCCUGCUUUUGUGGGGUGCUCGAGUGGCGAACGGGUGAGUAACACGUGAGUAACCUGCCCUUGACUUUGGGAUAACUUCAGGAAACUGGGGCUAAUACCGGAUAGGAGCUCCUGCUGCAUGGUGGGGGUUGGAAAGUUUCGGCGGUUGGGGAUGGACUCGCGGCUUAUCAGCUUGUUGGUGGGGUAGUGGCUUACCAAGGCUUUGACGGGUAGCCGGCCUGAGAGGGUGACCGGCCACAUUGGGACUGAGAUACGGCCCAGACUCGUACGGGAGGCAGCAGUGGGGAAUAUUGCACAAUGGGCGGAAGCCUGAUGCAGCAACGCCGCGUGCGGGAUGACGGCCUUCGGGUUGUAAACCGCUUUCGCCUGUGACGAAGCGUGAGUGACGGUAAUGGGUAAAGAAGCACCGGCUAACUGCGUG